CACCUCCACUCUAUCUCCCUCAAUCUAGUAGAAACUAGAAGAUCUAUUUCUACUUACAUUGGUUGCUAAGCCUAAAAAGAAAUAUUAUUUAGAGAAGAGGUUUUCCUUCGAGGGCACCCAUCAAUCUCUAUGAUAAUUUCUUGUCUCCUCCAGGGGCCAGGGGCCUUGCUUAUAUAGUCCUCCUCCUUUGUGCGUUUUUGGUUCAGCAGGCGAUGUGGUACUAAACUUUCCACCAUAUCUCAUUAAAAUGCACAUAGGCCUUAAUGGACCAAAAUCUGAUUUGGGCCCAAUUAAUCCCGCAGCUCUUUUAUGUGGAGUUCUUCUUUUAUUAAUAUCUCUUGAUUCCGAACUCCAAAUAUAGCAAAUAAUAUAUGCAUUUCGAUCAGCUCGACAAGAUCUUUGCAAUGGUGUACUCCAUUCUAUGAUUGGUGGAAACACCUAGGCGGGCGCCCAAGGGGGGAGGGCGGGCGCCCUGCCCCCGGGCCCGGCCGGCCUCUCGUUCGUUCCUGUGGCUUCUCGACUCUUCUAGAUGAUAGAAAAUUACGCGGCACGUUAAUAUCUCUAUGUAAACCCGACGUGUGGGCCUUUCCUCCAUAUUUCCUGAUAACCCCCUGCAGAAAUAGACAAACACCAAAACUCGUAGAAUUCUAUUAGAUAAAACCCUAAGUCUGGGUGUUGGUUGUAUUUGGAUCCUUUUAUUUAUUUAUUUGAUGAUUAUAUUUGGUACUUAAGGACCGUCAACAACUCCCCCAAGCUUACCUCUUGCUCGUCCCUGAGCAAGGAUGAACUCAAGAGUUUCUGCAGUGGUUUCAUGCCUUAAAAGUGCACACGCAUUCAGGCAAUAUCUCAUCUCUGAGUUAGAAUAAACUGUUAAGACUUAAAACUUACUCAUUUUACCUUUCACCAUGGGGCUUGUAACCAUCACUUGUGUCUUGAGUAGUUAAAAGAUAGAACGGUCAAGUCAAGCGCCAUGUCUCUUAUUCUUGAUCAGCUAUAGCUCUGGAGUUUUUGCAGAUUUUCAAAUAAAACUAAGAGAUUCCUUGUAUGACUCUCUUAGAUCUCUCUUUUGUGGUAUUUCUGGAUCCUUUCCAAGGCAGUAAUGGUAUAUGCCUUCUCUCAAAAUAUGUGGUAUUUGUGGUAUGAGGCAUAGUGAUAUUGCCUUCUCUUUCAUCCUACUCUAAUAAGGUUUUGAUAUCUGGAGCUCAUAGGUGGGAGACAGCUAAUACAUACUUACAAGACAUUUAUUGCAUAGUCAAACCAUGGAUCCAGAGAAACAAGUCAAUAAGUCAAAUCAAGAUGUGCAUGUGUGGCGAAUGAAUGGUGUAUGGUGAUGAUGGUGAUAACAAUGGUGAAAGUCUAAUUCUAUUUUUGCUCUUUUAAGAGAAUACAUACCUUUCUUGCACUUUGAAGCUUUUUGGGGAGAAUGAGAUGCUCUAUAUUUUCUUUUUCUUUCCUCUCAGGUGGGUAUCUUGUAACCCUAAUUCUACUGUCGGACACUUGUCCAUUUUUACCUCUCGUCUCACUUUUUCUUUUCUUCGAGGUUCCGGGCACUUGCCCCUUUUUAUUUCCUCGUAUCCUUUCUUUCUUCUCUUUUUUUUUCUUUUUUUUUACUAGAGCACUCAUCUCUUGAAAUAAUAUAGCAAGUGGUAGUUACGAAAAUAACUGGAGCAUUUAUUUCACAGGGAAUAACAGGGAUAGGAAAAUGUUUUUGGCUAUUCUCUCCCGGAUUAGGAGUAGAAUAAUUUUGGGUGAAUCUGGAGAUGGAAAUGAGUGGAUAUAUGUGGAUGGUACUUCCGGAGUAGAAGUAGCAUGUAUGAGUGAACGUGCAAGUGAAUCUUGAUUUUAACCGCAUGACAAGCUCCUUAGGGUCUACACAGCUUGACCACACUCAAUGCUCAUAAGCAGUAAAAGUAAAUGUGUGGCUCAAAGUCUAAUAAGCAUGUUUAUAUGGUUGUGGUAGGAAUUUAAACUCUCAUCAUACAGGAACUCAUCAUGUGUUAUUUUAAAGAUUUUCAAAGAUAAAAUUCUACAGAAUUCUAGCAUCUCUAGGAACAGAUAAACAACAGCUCAACCUUCCCAUAUCAUAUCCGUUAACAACUUAGACUUUAGAUCAAGUACUCUUCCCACAAGUUCAGGUUUAGAGCAAAUCUUAAUUCAUAACAGUCAUACCUAAACUUGAGAGAGAUUUCAAUUUUAAGAAGUAGUCAUGGCAGAGCAACUAUUCAUCAUUUCCAUGUGAGAGCUUAUCAUGAGGGUUCAUAGCAAACUUUAUUUAUUUAUUUAUUUAUUUAGCAAACUAAGCAAAGAUAUAUAUAAAAGCACAAAAUCUUUAUUUGGGUUUUCAUGAUUAUGCAUCUUUUUAUUAUUUGAGUAAAGUAUAAACGCGAGUGGAAACACUUAGCUGGAUAAAUGGGGGUGCUCUCCCCCAAGCUGGAUUUUGACGUAAUUUCUUCUGAUGUAGCAAACAAGUGAUGGAGGUGUAUUUGAAUGUUGGCACAACCCUGACAGCGAUUAGAAUGUCCUCCGUCUGCUAGUCUUCUUUGAUCCUUGAAUUCUGUGGAGCUCAAAUAGUCAACAAAGCUUUGUGGAACUGGUUAAGUGUUAGCAUAAAAUCUCUUUGCCUUUAUCAUACUGAGCUUCCUCCUAAUAAAUUUUAUUUAGCAGGAUCAUGCACUUAUUAUUUAAAUUUUUAUUGUAAGAUAAAAACAUAUUUAUUUUAUGCCACCACAGUCAAUAUACCUAUGGGUUUUUAAACCACAAGUCUACUCACAUGGGGCUUCCUAUUUUUAAUAUUUUUAUUUUCUUUUCAAGAUAGCAUGAACCUGAUUAACUAAGCAAACUAUUGAAUGGAAAAGGAUAACUACCAAGUUUACCUCUUGGCAAGGCGUUCGGUGUUUUUAAGUCCUCCGAAUGGGACUCUCUGUUUUCUCAAUCGUCCUGGGAUUUGUUGGAUGGCGUAGUCGGUGGUUCCAGCGGCUAUAACUAUCUUCUCUUUCCACAUCUGACUCGGUGCUACGGUCUCCUCAGGACAGUUCUGUUCAAGCUGUAUGUCUUCAGACCUUACCACUUCUCCUUUGUAGUCUGCCAAUCCGUCCUUGAUGAUUUGCCUCCUCUGGUUGCGGUUGCGUUGUCUUCUUCUUGUCCUGACCUGCUUAGAGUCUUCAACUAUAUAGUUAGGGUCAGUAAAAUAGCGGCGUACCUUCUCAGAGGGAAAGUGCAUGUGGACUUCUCCGGUUCCAAUAUAGAUAAUGGCUUUGAUAGUGCUGAGGAACGGUCUUCCAAGGAUGAUGGGUGGAUCGUACUCAUCGUCUCCCAUGUCAAUGACCUGAAAAUCAUCUGGAGCUGAAUAUAUAUUGGUUGUAGGGGCAUGGUUCCAUGCAGGAGCUGAUAAGUGACUGCGGCCAUUAUGUUGUCGUUAGAUCCGGUGUCGUAGAAUGUUUUCUGAAAAGAGUAUCCAUUGAUUGUGCACUUGAUGCUUGGAACACCAGGGUCGUCCUUCUUGAUCAGGAAAGGCGACUUGAGUCGACGAUCUGGACCUCUUCCGACAAGGAUCCAAAGUUUUAAAUCUUCUGGACAAGACUUCUCAUUGUCUUCAUCCUUUAGGUGCAUCAUUUGAUUAGGUGUGGACCUUGACGUCUGCACUUCUUGAUACGGUGUCACCAUGUUCUUUGAUUGCCCAGCAGUUCGAAGUGCGGUGUUGGCAAUAUCCUGCUCAGUGUGUUUGUGCUCAUAGAUCCAAGUCCUUCACUUGGUGGAGUCUGGGAGUUGUAAAACUCAUCCAUGUUUUGCUUGAAGUGUACCUGUUCAUAGAGACAAGGCAGAGAUCAAGUGCAUGGGCCCUGUUGGUGAAAAACACUAAUAGAACCAAAAGUGUAUUUGUUCUUUUCUAACCUUAAACAUAGUGAGUAAGACAAAGUUGAUGGAUCAUGAGUGAAGCAUUUGAAGAAUUUGUCAGAUCAGAUUGCUCAACCUAAUGGAAAGAUAAUCUAUCUAUAUUUAUGUUUUGUUUAUAUCUUCCAAAGAUUGAAUGUGCAACAUUUUAGCUUAUAUGAUUAGGAGUGUGGGAUCACGAAGGUAGUACUAAGAACAAAGAUUAAAGGACUAAACAUGUUGAAUUAAUUGGGUUGGUUAAUUUGGAGUUACAAAUCAUACAUGUUUGUCUCUUUAUUUUAUGUGUAUGCCAGAACCAAGGAGAAGCUUAUAAAAGUGAUAUUCAAGUACUUUAAGAUGUUACCUUAAUUGAAGAGUGAUGGUACAGUAUCACCUUGUGGAAGCUUUCCUUUCUUAGCGGUUGUGCAUCGUGUUUGUGGCACCCUCCAUGGAUCAUCUCUUUCUGAUGAAUGAGCUAUGUCUUCCUUGUGCAAAUUGUUAACCUUCAUGUGUCUCUCUCUUUGUCUCCAAUGUGAGUUUAUCUCAGGACUUCCCAAAUUGAUGUUGAAAGUUUUUCUACGGGGGUUAGUCCGACAAAAUAUACCAAUGCCUACUCAAGCAAUUUUUAGUUCAGUAACCAAACUAGACUCCAUGUCUAAUCAGAUUAAGGAAGGCUAUUUAACCUAAGCACCACGCUUAAUUUAAAAGCCAAUAGAAGUAUGUGCAGUACUUCCAAACUAACACUUACUAGGAUAAACAAAGGUAGCGUGAUGGCAUUUAUAGAGAUCUACUCAAGUGGAGAUGAAGUAGUGUGAUUAGUAUUUAAUCAAUUGAGCAUGUCUCAAAGGUAAGGACAACCAACGUAGCAACAUGGCAAAAGAUGUUUUUAUGUAAAGUACUCCCCCAAGCUUGAAUUUUGCAAAACACAAGUUUGGAUGAAUUUAAUUCAAUGUUGUGUGAUGGUUGGUUGGACAUACCUUGCGCUUGUCAUUCCUCAGAUCUUCUUGCUCCAAUCCUAGAAAGGUUAGUGACACGAAUACCCGAAGGAAUAUUUCUACAAUUAUCUUUAUAUGCUCAAUACACAAGGCAAUGUUGCAAAUAAUUAAAAGUUCAUAUUACGAUCUGAUCAGUGCUUGUUUUAGAAAACUAAGCUUGUCCUUGGGAAACCAUCAAUUUAUGUCGGCGAAGUGGUUUCCCUUCCAACACUGACCUAUAUCAAGAUCAACUCAACGAGAUCUGCAAUAUUUGUUAUAGACAUAUGCAUCGACAACCGCUCUUUUAAAGUUGUUAUAAAUAGAAAGGAAGAGGGGGUUGGAGAUCUCAAAUGUGGUAAGGUUGGAGAGACCAAUUGAUUGAAGAGAUGAUUUAUAUGAGCAAGGACUUGAUGAGGUAUUUAUGAAAUAACUUCCAUGCUCACUGUUGUUUCUCUCAUUCUCAAACUCCAAGGAUGAUUCUUCAUGAAUGCUUAAAAUUCCUCUAAGAUUGUCUCUCAAGUUUGUUUUAUCUAUCCAUUCAAUGGUGAUAGCACGUGGAUUUUUAAUGCCAUCUAGCCAUUGAUAUUGCUCUUCUUGAUCCUCCUUGUGGUCUUGGUGACUCUUAUGCAUGGGAUGUCUAGAGAGAUUCAUAGGAUCAUCGGGAGUAGAAAGAGCAUAGUAGAAAUUAUUAGGCUCAGGGAUGGGUUGGAUAGCCGAAUCAUGGGAUUGGAAUGUUUGGAAAUCGGCUAUUGAAACUUCCUUUCCUUGUCUGGGAGAUGAUUCCUUCUCUAUCUCUAAGAUUUUUCUAUGAAGACUAGUACAAGAAGGAUGUCCACAAAUGAAGACAUACCUUCCUUUACUAAUAGAUAAAGAAAGAAAGACUCUACCAAAGGUUAUAUGAUUAAGACCAAUGUGAAAAUAUCGAGAAAAAACAUGGUCUUGUAGGGCUAGGUCUAAACCAGAAUUUAUAGAAAAAUAAAGAGAUUCCCUAGGUGUAGCUAAAAGUGCAUUAUCUUCUUGAUUAAAAGAUAGGACCUCGGCUAUAGAAAAGGGUUGGUUUUGACCUAUUGCAAUCAACUCCGGACACAAAUCAUAAUUAGGGGCAAGACUUGUUGACUCCCAUGGUCUAUGGCUGGUCUCCGAAGGUGCAAAGAAUUCAAUAAUAGAUAUGGAAUUUAAGUUAUCCAUAAAGAUAAAAAUAAAAAGAUAAAAGAAUAAAAGUAUAAAAGUAUAAUACAAGAUAAUAGCAAGACUCAAAGUUAUCUCAGCAAACCGUCUUUCUCCCCGGCAACGGCGCCAGAAAUGCUUGUUGAUAUUUGGUAACGCAAUUAGAAAAUGAUCCGCAAGUGCACGGAUAUCGGUGAGCAUUUCACCCGGGAGGUUAUCCAGAGUUAUCGUAUUUAUAUUUUUACCACUGGGAGAAAGGGAGCAUCUGACUAACCAAAUCUAUUGCUACUAUCCCUUUAGGCUACAAAGAAUGUUUCUCGAUGUGAGUGAUGUAUAGAGAAGACUGCAACCCUAGUCUCGUUCUAACCUUGGUAAGGAUGAUCUACUGUUCUAUUGGCGAGGCUCACGGAAUCUAGACAACACAAAGGAUGUUCGACCCACACCUAUAAACCUACCCGUCCUGCUAACAAGAUAUGGGAUACAAAGGUAACUCGGAAAUGUCACGUUCCUCGCUACUACCACGGUCCAGCUAGUCAGGGGAUAUCUAUGAGUACCCUAGCCUAAACACCACGUUUACGCUAGCAAGUGAUUACUCUAAUACUCAACCGGAAGAGGAUUAAAGUAAACUCAUAAACCAAAGAACAAUAAAACAAGAACUUACUAGAAUUAGAAGUCCAAUUACUGAAGAAUCUUAGAAGCAAGCCUCGGGUUAGGAGACUUGAUCCCAUAGGUACAACUCGGAGUAGACACCGACAGGCCGGCCUUCCUCCGAUCUACACCUCCACUCUAUCUCCCUCAAUCUAGUAGAAACUAGAAGAUCUAUUUCUACUUACAUUGGUUGUUAAGCCUAAAAAGAAAUAUUAUUUAGAGAAGAGGUUUUCCUUCGAGGGCACCCAUCAAUCUCUAUGAUAAUUUCUUGUCUCCUCCAGGGGCCAGGGGCCUUGCUUAUAUAGUCCUCCUCCUUUGUGCGUUUUUGGUUCAGCAGGCGAUGUGGUACUAAACUUUCCACCAUAUCUCAUUA
This 7032-nucleotide long non-coding RNA is filed under the name Sorghum bicolor (sorghum). Its description in RNAcentral is "long non-coding RNA (SBIC_LNC012362)". Lineage: Eukaryota; Viridiplantae; Streptophyta; Magnoliopsida; Poales; Poaceae. The record is from RNAcentral.